This 211-nucleotide small nucleolar RNA is filed under the name Dasypus novemcinctus (nine-banded armadillo). RNAcentral's name for it is "Small nucleolar RNA U3 (ENSDNOG00000026507.2)". It matches the Rfam family "Small nucleolar RNA U3". From Rfam's summary of the family: Small nucleolar RNAs (snoRNAs) are involved in the processing and modification of rRNA in the nucleolus. There are two main classes of snoRNAs: the box C/D class, and the box H/ACA class. The record is from RNAcentral. Lineage: Eukaryota; Metazoa; Chordata; Mammalia; Cingulata; Dasypodidae.
AAGACUAUACUUUCAGGGAUCGUUGAGUAGAGAAGGUUCUCUGAACACGUAGGGCACUGAAAGCCAAGAGGAGGAGGCGCAGUGUCCUCUCCUGAGCGUGAACCCGGUUCUAGGUAUUGCUCUAGUUUCUUGCAACUGCCUCUUGGCACUGAUGAUCGUUCUUCUCCCCUGUUUUGGGGGAGUAAGAGGGAGAGGACACAGUCCGAGUGGU